CUACGGGAGGCAGCAGUGAGGAAUAUUGCACAAUGGGGGGAACCCUGAUGCAGCAACGCCGCGUGGAGGAUGACGCAUUUCGGUGUGUAAACUCCUUUUAUAUGUCAAGAAAAUGACGGUAGCAUAUGAAUAAGCACCGGCUAACUCCGUGCCAGCAGCCGCGGUAAUACGGAGGGUGCAGGCGUUACUCGGAAUCACUGGGCGUAAAGGACGCGUAGGCGGGCUUGUAAGUCAGGUGUGAAAUCCUACAGCUUAACUGUAGAACUGCACUUGAAACUACGAGCCUAGAGUAUGGGAGGGGCAGAUGGAAUUAGUGGUGUAGGGGUAAAAUCCGUAGAUAUAACUAGGAAUACCUAAAGCGAAGGCGAUCUGCUGGAACAUAACUGACGCUAAGGCGUGAAAGCGUGGGGAGCAAACAGGAUUAGAUACCCCGGUAGUC
RNAcentral lists this ribosomal RNA (439 nucleotides) under uncultured bacterium. RNAcentral describes it as "partial 16S ribosomal RNA". It matches the Rfam family "Bacterial small subunit ribosomal RNA", at positions 339 to 795 of the family's 1533-position model. The record is from RNAcentral.